AUCCCUGAAAGAUGAUCAGGUUGAUAGGUCAGAGGUGGAAGCGCGGUGACGUGUGGAGCUGACUGAUACUAAUCGAUCGAGGACUUAACCAA
This 92-nucleotide ribosomal RNA is filed under the name Metabacillus rhizolycopersici. RNAcentral describes it as "partial 23S ribosomal RNA". It matches the Rfam family "Bacterial large subunit ribosomal RNA", at positions 2833 to 2925 of the family's 2925-position model. The record is from RNAcentral. Lineage: Bacteria; Bacillati; Bacillota; Bacilli; Caryophanales; Bacillaceae.